Long non-coding RNA from Lagenorhynchus albirostris (white-beaked dolphin), 4472 nucleotides. RefSeq lists it as uncharacterized. The transcript has 2 exons. Lineage: Eukaryota; Metazoa; Chordata; Mammalia; Artiodactyla; Delphinidae. The record is from RefSeq and is a predicted model, not a curated record.
GAGGCCUGCGAGGAGUACUCAGAGUGCCGGAGCGGCGGCUGCGUCACCAACAGCCUGAGUCCCCAGAAGUUCUGCAGCCCCCAGGCCGUCUUCCAGCAGUGCCUGUCCUGGCAGAAGGUGUGCCCUGCCCGGGCCGGCGAGGGGCGAGAGGCCAGGGAGGGCGGACCCUGGGAAGGAGGGCUGGGGGCCUGGCAGAAGGGACCAGGUCUCCUUUUCCAGUAGCCGAACGGGCACACCUGCCUGGACCACACAGAGUGCUGGAGCGGCUGCUGCGUCACCAGCAGCUACGGGCUGCAGACGUACCGCACGGCCAAGACCAUCUUCCUGCAGUGCGUGCCGUGGUGCAAGGUGAGGCCAAGGGCCGCGGGGCCGGAGGGGGGCGCCUGCUGGCUCUGACCGCUGCCCCCAGCCCAACGGGGACUACUGCACGGACCACAGCCCCCAGCCCAACGGGGACUAUUGCACGGACCACGGCGAGUGCCGCAGCAAGUGCUGCGUCCAGCCGAACGAGGUCGACCCCCACCGCUGCGUCCCCCGGAGCGGCGUCCUGGUCCAGUGCCUGCCCUGGGUGAGUCCUGGAACCGGGUCCAGCCCGCCUGUGGGGCUAACUCCAGCGACUGGCCUGAGGGCGGGCGGGCGGGCGGGCAGUGACCUGGAAGUGGUGUGUCCCCUCCCAGGAGAGGCCGCCAACUGCCUCUGCAGAUCGGCCUCUGUUCCCGUUUCCUGAAGCAGAGCCCGGAUGAGGCGUCAGAAAAGGGCACGGGUCACGGGGGGUGGGUUCUCAGGUCCACCAGGGUCGCAGCAGGACACAGCGCUGGAUGCCCGGGGAAGGGCCAGCACAGCGGCGGGGGGCGGACCCACGGGACGGGGCAGCACCGGGACUCACUCCUGUGGGGCUGGACGAAGGGAAGGACUGUCUCGGGGGCCUCCCCCCCCAUCACCUUCCCCAGAAGAAGGAGCUCAGUGAGGCGGCCCCCCAGGACGCAGGACCUGAAGACACCACGGAGGACGGGGUAGGGGGGCCGCAGAGGGAGGUGGGGCACGGUGACCGGAGGGGCACGGCGAGCGGCUGGGAGACAACACUCUGGUGCCCGAGCUCAGACUCCGGGACCCGUGACUGCAGUCUGACGGAAAAGGUGUGUCGGGGCCCCGAGGGUGAGAGCCAGAGCUUCCUGAGCACGCCCACCUGGCCCGUCAGCACCCAGAGCGGCGGUGGGUGCAGAGGUGCCACGACAGUGAGUCCACGGGUGUCCCGAGGGUGUCGGAGACAACCAGGCCGCUCCGCCGGCAGCCUCGCCCAGAGGCGCGGAUCGUCGGUCCCGAGGACAGCGUGGCCCUUACAAUCCAGCUGCCCGAAGGCUGCGUCUCCCCGUGCGUUUCCUAAUUUUGCUGUGUCUUCUAGUGACUUGGACCCGGUCUGUGCCCUGGAGACCUGCCUGGACCCUGAGCCCUGCACGUGUUCAGGCUGCUCUUCCCGGGAUGGUGAAAACCUGCAGGUAUCAGACGUCUAGCUGUGAACUCCUGAGACCGCCCGCAUCCGGGUGGCCCCUACUGGAACCUCGAGGUGAUAACUUAGCAUCAGCAAACCUCCCGACUGAGUGAGUGUUUCUGUGGACGUGGAGACACCGGGUCUCAGCUCAGCACCGUCCUAAGGAGCCCCCUUCACCAGAGACCGAGUCUCCCCAGAGGAAAGGGCAGGUGCAGACACGUCCCUCCCCCGCAGGCGCACACAGAUGACUGGUCACUGCAGGUAAGUCAUCAGUUGGCCGUUCCAACUGGAAAGGCUCCCCUGACCUUGCGGAUGGCGCAGUGAGGACAUCGGAGCCCGCUAAAGACCCCUGGGGGGGGGGCUCCCACUGGUCCCACCUUCCCCUGGAGCAGAAGUGCUGGCUGAUCUAGAAACUGUUCCCUCUGGUGGCUUCUCGGGGCAAACACCAGAGCCGCUCCUCUGCACCCAGAGUGCCAGAAAUGUCACUGUCACCUUCCUCUGUGCCCAGCACCCACCCCGCAGACACCAGGCUGCUUUUCUGGGCUCUGCUAGAACAAUUCUCCACCCUGUGCCUCCCCGCUUCUGCCUGCUCCUCCUGGGCUGGAGAUGACUAUGACAGUACUUGCAGAGUAAGUCAUGAGAAGCCGUCGCUCCCACCCUAAUAGUGAGAACAAGCCAGACACAGUUAAGAGAAUGAAAAGACAAGCCACAGACGAGAAGAAAUGACACAUCUGACAAAGGACUCGGAUCCAGACUAUACAAAAAACUCUCAAAAGUUAAGUGAAAACAACUCAAUUAAGGGACAUUCCUGGUGGCGCAGUGGCUAAGAAUCCGCCUGCUAAUUCAGGGGACACAGGUUCAAGCCCUGGUCCGGGAAGAUCCCACGUGCCACGGAGCAACUAGGCCCGUGAGCCACAACUACUGAGCCUGCGCUCUAGAGCCCACGUGCCACAACUACUGAGCCUGUGUGCCUAGAGCCUGUGCUCCGCAACAAGAGAAGCCCCCGCUCGCUGCAACUAGAGAAAGCCUGCAGGCAGCAAUGAAGACCCAACGCAGCCAAAAAUAAAUAAAUUAAAAAAAAAACCCAAUUAAAAAACAAGACAAAAAAUUUGAACGGACAUUUCACCAAGACAAUAUACAGACAGCUCAGACGCACGAGAAAGCUGGUCCACCAUCGUUAGCCCCGAGGGAAACGCAGAGCAGGCUGACGUCCAGCCUGUGAUUAGACGGACCAAGGGCCGCCAGGCUGCAGAGCCUGGGGCACCCGCGGCGGACGGGACGUCGGCGGCCUCGCGAGCAGCGGGGGGCGGCCGCGCACACACUCACCAGGUGCGCCGAACACCUGUGUCGCACCCUGACCCACUCAAGCUCUUCAUUCUUGCUCCUGACGCUGCUGCGUGAGUGGACAAACGUGGUGCAUCCCCGGACGGGAGGUCCCGCCGCCCGAGGAGGAGCGGCCUCAGAGGCCACGCCCGCGAGGCCCCAUCCACGCGAUUCUCCAGAAGAGGCUGCAGGCUGGGGGCGGCACGACUGGCCGCAGCAGGGCUUCCGGGGGCGACGAGAGGCCAGGCCCCGGUUGUGAGGGGUGCGUCAGUCUGUGGCUUUCCUCACGGCUCACCCGACUUGGGGAGACUUUACUGUCGCUCGUGAGCCCCACGUGAAACGAAUCUGGUGGAGCCCUGGGGACGCUGGUGUGUUUGAGCUUGUGCGGCAGGGAAGCAGGACGGACGUGAGGAAACAGGCAGCCGCCACAAGCUGAGGACCCCCGCGGCUGGCCGCUUGGCAUGCAGGGCUCUCGGGGAGAUGGGCAAGGAGAGGACGCUUGGACCAGCCCUGGGGUCGGGGCCGCCCGUGGGUCGUGGGUCGAGGUUCACCGCAGGGCGCCCCCCUCCCCCCAGGGUCCUCUGGGCGGGCGAGUCUGCAGGAGGCCGGGCAGGCCUCGGGGCUCCGUCCAGCGUCCGCCAGGCCGCCCUCUCCCCCGCAGGCCACCACUCGUCCACCUUCUGUCUCUGCGGCUUUGCCUGCUCAGGACGCUCCGUGGAGACGGACUCACACGAUCCGGGGCCGCUGUGGCUUCCUUCACGGAUCACGAUGCUCUCAAGUCUCAUCCACGCUGUCAAGUGAGGCAGAACUUUGCUCCUUUUUGUGGCUGAGUAACAUUCCACCGCGUGGCUGCAACUACAUGCUGUCUACCAGCAUCCGUGGAGGGACACGCGGGUUCUUUCCAUUUCUGACUCUUCUGAGUAAAGUUGCUGUGCACAUUCCUAUACACGUCCUCUGUGGACACAGGUUUUUAAUUCUCUGGGCCUGUACCAGGAGUGGGACUCUGGCUCAUACAGUUACUCCACGUCUCACCUCUUAGGAAAUGCCAGAUUGCUCUCCACAGCACCCGCGCCCUGUCACACUCCCACAGGCGCUUUGCCCACACCCUGCACGACGCUGCUUAUGGUCUGUCUUCUUGGUCCUAUCCCAGUGGGCGGGAAGUGGAUCCCAGAGUGACUGCAGCUCGUUCUUUAAAAACAACAAAACAGGACUUCCCUGGUGGCGCAGUGCUUAAGAAUCCACCUGCAGGGGACACGGGUUCAAGCCCUGGUCCGGGAAGAUCCCAGAUGCCGCAGAGCAACUAAGCCCGUGCGCCACAACUACUGAGCCUGCGCUCUAGAGCCCACGAGCCACAACUACUGAAGCCCGCGCGGCUAGAGCCCGUGCUCCGCAACAAGACAAGCCACCGCAAUGAGAAGCCCGCGCACCGCAACGAAGAGUAGCCCCCGCUCACUGCAACUAGAGAAAGUCCACGUGCAGCAAUGAAGACCCAACGCAGCCAAUAAAUAAAUAAAUAACAACAACAACAAAACCGGGACUUCCCCUGGCGGGGGCACGGGCUCAAUCCCCGGUUGGGGAACUAAGAUCCCACAUGCCCGCCCGGCGCCGCUCCCAGCAAGGCCAAAAAUAAAUAAAUAAAAUAAACCCAGCAAAACCAGAA